ACUCCUACGGGAGGCAGCAGUGGGGAAUAUUGCACAAUGGAGGAAACUCUGAUGCAGCGACGCCGCGUGAGUGAAGAAGUAAUUCGUUAUGUAAAGCUCUAUCAGCAGGGAAGAUAGUGACGGUACCUGACUAAGAAGCUCCGGCUAAAUACGUGCCAGCAGCCGCGGUAAUACGUAUGGAGCAAGCGUUAUCCGGAUUUACUGGGUGUAAAGGGAGUGUAGGUGGCCAUGCAAGUCAGAAGUGAAAAUCCGGGGCUCAACCCCGGAACUGCUUUUGAAACUGUAA
Molecule: ribosomal RNA, 286 nt
Filed under: uncultured bacterium
Lineage: Bacteria
Description: partial 16S ribosomal RNA
Rfam family: Bacterial small subunit ribosomal RNA
Source: RNAcentral